UACGUAGGGGGCAAGCGUUGUCCGGAUUUAUUGGGCGUAAAGAGCUCGUAGGUGGUUCGGUAAGUCGGAUGUGAAAUCUCCAGGCUCAACCUGGAGGGGUCAUUCGAUACUGCCGUGACUAGAGGUCGGUAGGGGAGUGUGGAAUUCCUGGUGGAGCGGUGAAAUGCGCAGAUAUCAGGAGGAACACCGGUGGCGAAGGCGGGUCUCUGGGCAACUACUGACGCUGAGGAGCGAAAGCGUGGGGAGCGAACAGG
This 254-nucleotide ribosomal RNA is filed under the name uncultured bacterium. RNAcentral's name for it is "partial 16S ribosomal RNA". It matches the Rfam family "Bacterial small subunit ribosomal RNA", at positions 524 to 776 of the family's 1533-position model. The record is from RNAcentral.